RNAcentral lists this transfer RNA (76 nucleotides) under Steroidobacter sp. Its description in RNAcentral is "tRNA-Thr". It matches the Rfam family "tRNA". Rfam says of the family: Transfer RNA (tRNA) molecules are approximately 80 nucleotides in length. Lineage: Bacteria; Pseudomonadati; Pseudomonadota; Gammaproteobacteria; Steroidobacterales; Steroidobacteraceae. RNAcentral also lists the same sequence under 1 other name. The record is from RNAcentral.
GCUGGCUUAGCUCAGUUGGUAGAGCUACUGAUUUGUAAUCAGUGGGUCGGGGGUUCGAGUCCCUCAGCCAGCACCA